GAUUUUAUAGUUAAAUUUUAUAACAUUAGAAUGCAAUUCUAAAUUUAUACAAAAUUAUUGUAUUAAGAUUU
RNAcentral lists this transfer RNA (71 nucleotides) under Fenusa (Kaliofenusa) sp. 2 GYN-2022b. RNAcentral describes it as "tRNA-Cys". Lineage: Eukaryota; Metazoa; Arthropoda; Insecta; Hymenoptera; Tenthredinidae. The record is from RNAcentral.